GUGGGGAAUAUUGGACAAUGGGGGAAACCCUGAUCCAGCAAUGCCGCGUGAGUGAUGAAGGCCUUCGGGUUGUAAAGUUCUUUUGGAGGGGACGAUGAUGACGGUACCCUCAGAAUAAGCUCCGGCUAACUUCGUGCCAGCAGCCGCGGUAAUACGAAGGGAGCUAGCGUUGUUCGGAAUUACUGGGCGUAAAGGGCGCGUAGGCGGUUUGGUUAGUCAGAUGUGAAAGCCCAGGGCUUAACCCUGGAACUGCGUUUGAUACUGCCAAGCUUGAAUUCGGGAGAGGUGAGUGGAAUUCCCAGUGUAGAGGUGAAAUUCGUAGAUAUUGGGAAGAACACCGGUGGCGAAGGCGGCUCACUGGACCGACAUUGACGCUGAGGCGCGAAAGCGUGGGGAGCAAACAGGAUUAGAAACCCGGGUAGUCC
This 425-nucleotide ribosomal RNA is filed under the name uncultured bacterium. Its description in RNAcentral is "partial 16S ribosomal RNA". It matches the Rfam family "Bacterial small subunit ribosomal RNA", at positions 354 to 796 of the family's 1533-position model. The record is from RNAcentral.